AAAUGUUUUAAAUGAUUAGUUCGUUAUAAAUGAAUAAUGAAAGUUUAAAAGUUAGAAAAAAAAGUACAAGAAUGAUAACUUAAACAACCUUGAGGGGUUAAACUUGUAAUUAUGUUACUAACUUAUUAAAAAAAAUAAAAACCCAGUAUAGUGGGUGUGUGUGGGUCGCGACCAAGAACCAGGGGAGAAAGGAAAACCCCUUUUCCUUCAUAAAAUUUCAAGAAUUCAGGGAAUUAAGGUGCUAUUGAUCCAGAAAAUCGAAUGCAUGAAGUAAAUUCCUUGCUAAUCUAAGUGUACUGAAGACAAGGAGUCAUGUCAAUAGAGGCACAAAUAUGGAAGCGCUACGGGUCGAAGGUAAACACGGAAGCUAUGUGUAAAUUCGGACGCACGAGGUAAGUAAACUCCCCGACUCCUUCCUUAGUAGUAAAAGAGGUUAUUUGUAUGAUAAAUGUUAGCAAUUAUGCAAGAUGCUUUAUUGACAUUGGUAACAAGUAAGGAGCACUAAGGAAGUGAUUUCUGAAUCACCUCCUACACCAUUUUAGGAAGGCUAUAUGCGAGUCACUUAAGUAUGGUAAUCUAAGUUUAUCUAGGAUUCGGUUAUUGGAGGUGAUGGUGUUCGCUAAGAAGACCGAACGGGUUAAAAUAAGAGUAUAUUAGUGUAGUUUUUAUGCAAAUUGAGCUGCCAAAAUAGUGCAGAAUUUUCAUGUUAAUUGUUGUUAAGAUAGUGCAGUUUUUAUGCAUUUUUGAGCUGCCAAAAUAGUGCAGAAUUUUGAUGUUAAUUGUUGUUAAAAUAGUGCAGUUUUUAUGCGUUUUGAGCUGCCAAAAUAGUGCAGAAUUGUGCUGUUUAUUGUUGUUAAAAUAGUGCAGUUUUUAUGCGUUUUGAGCUGCCAAAAUAGUGCAGAAUUGUGCUGUUUAUUGUUGUUAAAAUAGUGCAGUUUUUAUGCGUUUUGAGCUGCCAAAAUAGUGCAGAAUUGUGCUGUUUAUUGUUGUUAAAAUAGUGCAGUUUUUAUGCAUUUUGAGCUGCCAAAAUAGUGCAGAAUUGUGCUGUUUAUUGUUGUUAAAAUAGUGCAGUUUUUAUGCAUUUUGAGAUGUCAAACUAGUGCAGAAUUGUGCUGUGUAUUGCUAUUAAAAUAGUGCAGUUUUUAUGCAUAUCGAGCUGUUAAAAUAGUGUAGAAUUGUGCAGUUUAUAAUGUAUGUACGUGGUCUAUUUGUAUGGAAGCUUGUAAUCAGCAUACCUUAGUAAACCUUGGGAUGAUUUAAGUGAUUUAUAAGGGUUGUACGUUUGUACGUGGGUACGUAAUCACGUGUGGAAGUUCAUGUCUAUGAAUACACGUGUGUUUGUGCCUGCGUCUGAAUUAGGAUUCAUUGCUUAUGAGCGAACGGAACUUGGGUAUGUGUUCGUACAACUUAAAUAAGUGGAAGCGUUAAGUUACUAAACCGUUGUCUUGAGUAUGAAAUGUGAUUGCAGGUACUCUAUUAAUGUCUUUACCAAGGUUAAGGAAUUGAAGUGCACGAAUGUACAUGGAAAGCAUAUUCGUAAGGAUCAGUAUGGGAAGAAGGAACGUGGACGGGUUAUUGAUCAUGUGUGUUUAGUUUAGGAAUGAUGUCAUUAAAUCUAACCGAUGCACAUGUAUGUGGUGAAUGCAGGUUGCUUGGAUUUAGCAUCAUUACGAAGGAUGGAAAGAUUGAAGAUCGAGUCAAGAGCAAAGGAUUGUACGAGAAGGAUCGGUCACAUAGUUUGUUAAAUGUAGGUCCGAAGUAUUAAUAUAAUGGAACAUGGUAAAUCCUUUUUAAUGAGUGUAUGACAUUUGGUAUUCGAAGUUUCCUGUAAGUACUAUGUCUAUUAAAGAACGAAAUUUUGGGUUCAUA
Long non-coding RNA from Helianthus annuus (common sunflower), 1869 nucleotides. RefSeq lists it as uncharacterized. The transcript is spliced from 2 exons. The record is from RefSeq and is a predicted model, not a curated record. Lineage: Eukaryota; Viridiplantae; Streptophyta; Magnoliopsida; Asterales; Asteraceae.